Molecule: transfer RNA, 85 nt
Filed under: Alphaproteobacteria bacterium
Lineage: Bacteria; Pseudomonadati; Pseudomonadota; Alphaproteobacteria
Also listed under: 2 other names
Description: tRNA-Leu
Rfam family: tRNA
About the family: Transfer RNA (tRNA) molecules are approximately 80 nucleotides in length. Their secondary structure includes four short double-helical elements and three loops (D, anti-codon, and T loops).
Source: RNAcentral
GCGGUCGUGGCGGAAGUGGUAGACGCGCUAGCUUGAGGUGCUAGUGGGGCGACCCGUGGAGGUUCGAGUCCUCUCGACCGCACCA